GUCCCACGUCGGGCUCCCUGCAUGCCUGCUUCUCCCUCUGCCUCUCUCUGUGUCUCUCUUAUGAAUAAAGAAAUAAAAUAUUUUUUUAAAUCUUUUAAAAUAUACAUAUAUUAAUAAAUAAUCCAGGGAGAUUCUGUGUACUCUUCAUCCAGUUUCUCCCAAUGGAAAUAGCUUACAAAAGUGUAGUACAAUAUUACAAUCCAGACAUUGACAUUAAUAUAGUCAAGAUACAGAAUGUUUCCAUUUCAUUGCUUCCAGGUUACUUUAUAGCCACACCCACUUCCUUUCCUUAAGCUCUGGCAACAGCUAACCUGUUCUCCUCUAUAUAACUUAGUCCUUUCAAGAAUGUUAUAUAAAUGCAAUCAUACAGUACAUAGCAUUUUGGGAUUCUGACCCCAGGAUCAUGCCCCGGGUCAAAGGCAGGCGCUAAACCGCUGAGCCACCCAGGGAUCCCCAAAGUUCUUAAUUUUAACGAAGCCCAGCUUAUUGGUGUUUCCUUUAUGAAUCAUGCUUUUGGAGUCAGAUCAAGAACUCUUAGCUCUACAUCCUGAGAAUUUUCUCCUGUGCUUUUUCUAAAAAUUUUGUAGGUUUACAUUUAAGUCUGUGAUCCAUUUUGAGUUUAUUUUUGUGUAAGGUGUGAAACUUAGUUUGAGGUUCUCCUCCCACCCCCACCCCCCUUUGGAUGUUCAAUUGCUGCAGCAUCGCAUGACUCGAUGCAAUAAUGGAUGACUCCUUGGGUCAGAGUACAGCAGAAAGCAAGCUGAGGACAAAGCACAAGCUGACACCCCACAAACCGCCCUCUGCCCCACUCCCAGGUUUUAUUUAUUUGACAGAGUACAAGCAGAGGGAGGAGCAGGCAGGAGAGGGAGAAGCAAGCUCCCCACCGAGCAGGGAGCUCAAUGCGUGGCUCAUCUCAGAACUUGGGAUCAUGACCUGAGCAGAAGGCAGACACUUAACCGAACGAGCCACAGAGGCAUCCCUCAGUGAACAAAUGUCUUAGUGAUUUACAAAGAAAAAGUAUCUUCUCAAUAACCUAACUUUCAAAACCCCAUAGACUCAAUGUCCUGGAGCCCUAACAUCACUUUCCCCUCCAUAGUGAAGUGGGAAACAAAGGUAGAAGGGAAUGUAAAUAAAAUAAAAUUUCCUUAUAACAUGAAGCCCGUUGACAAAUAAUUUAGGCAAGCGGAAUAUAACAUCCCUCCAGGAAACUCCCGCUGUCUUAAUGUUAAUGCUUUGCUAGAGGGAAAAACCACCUUAGCUCAACAAUAGCCAGGCCUCCAGUAUCCGGAGAGUCUUUUUUAGCAUAGCAAAGUUUUUGACACUUCCCUUUCUACUUACCUCCCCCAACUCCCAAGUAUGAUCUGCCAUUCCUCACAACCCCAGUGCGGCAGCUCUUUCUGCCCACAGGUCCUGUCCCCAUGCUUUUAAUAAAAUCAUCUUUUUGCACCCA
Molecule: long non-coding RNA, 1450 nt
Organism: Canis lupus familiaris (dog)
Lineage: Eukaryota; Metazoa; Chordata; Mammalia; Carnivora; Canidae
Exons: 2
Source: RefSeq, a predicted model, not a curated record